Triticum aestivum (bread wheat) is the source of this 116-nucleotide non-coding RNA. The record is from Rfam. Lineage: Eukaryota; Viridiplantae; Streptophyta; Magnoliopsida; Poales; Poaceae.
AUACCUUUCUCGGCCUUUUGGCUAAGAUCAAGUGUAGUAUUUGUUCUUAUCAGUUUAAUAUUUGAUAUGUGGGCCAUGUGCCCAACCAGUUCUUUGUUCUUGUCCCAUCUCCCUUU